AUUGAACGCUGGCGGCAGGCCUAACACAUGCAAGUCGAGCGGUAGAGAGGUGCUUGCAUCUCUUGAGAGCGGCGGACGGGUGAGUAAUGCCCAGGAAUCUGCCUAGUGGUGGGGGGAUAACGUUCGGAAACGGACGCUAAUACCGCAUACGUCCUACGGGAGAAAGCGGGGGGAUCUUCGGACCUCGCGCCAUUAGAUGAGCCUAGGUCGGAUUAGCUAGUUGGUGAGGUAAUGGCUCACCAAGGCGACGAUCCGUAACUGGUCUGAGAGGAUGAUCAGUCACACUGGAACUGAGACACGGUCCAGACUCCUACGGGAGGCAGCAGUGGGGAAUAUUGGACAAUGGGCGAAAGCCUGAUCCAGCCAUGCCGCGUGUGUGAAGAAGGUCUUCGGAUUGUAAAGCACUUUAAGUUGGGAGGAAGGGUAGGUAACCUAAUACGUUGCUAC
Molecule: ribosomal RNA, 447 nt
Filed under: uncultured bacterium
Lineage: Bacteria
Description: bacterial SSU rRNA
Rfam family: Bacterial small subunit ribosomal RNA
Source: RNAcentral